ACUGAACGCUGGCGGAAUGCUUUACACAUGCAAGUCGAACGGUAGAGGGGGCAACCCCUCGAGAGUGGCGAACGGGUGAGUAAUAUAUCGGAACGUGCCCAGUCGUGGGGGAUAACGUAGCGAAAGUUACGCUAAUACCGCAUACGAUCUAAGGAUGAAAGCGGGGGAUCGCACGACCUCGCGCGAUUGGAGCGGCCGAUAUCAGAUUAGGUAGUUGGUGGGGUAAAGGCUCACCAAGCCAACGAUCUGUAGCUGGUCUGAGAGGACGACCAGCCACACUGGAACUGAGACACGGUCCAGACUCCUACGGGAGGCAGCAGUGGGGAAUUUUGGACAAUGGACGCAAGUCUGAUCCAGCCAUUCCGCGUGCAGGAUGAAGGCCCUCGGGUUGUAAACUGCUUUUGUACGGAACGAAAAGGUCUCUCUUAAUACGGGGGGCUCAUGACGGUACCGUAAGAAUAAGCACCGGCUAACUACGUGCCAGCAGCCGCCGCCG
This 496-nucleotide ribosomal RNA is filed under the name uncultured bacterium. RNAcentral describes it as "partial 16S ribosomal RNA". It matches the Rfam family "Bacterial small subunit ribosomal RNA", at positions 30 to 523 of the family's 1533-position model. The record is from RNAcentral.